UGUUAUUAUGUUUCUGUAACUAGUCAGAAUUUGAUUUUCGUGUCUGUGCUAGCACAGGAAGAUUUUGAAAUUAGCUUCAAUAAAGAUUUUUAUUCUAUUUAUUUACAAAAUAAAUUGAUUGUAUGAGGUCUUUUAAUUGACAGUCUAUAUCACUUGCAUGUUAUACAAAUGUGAAUUUAAAUGAGCAAAUAGUGAGUGCCAUAGGUCAAAAGAGAUCCAGAGAUGAAAUUAACCAGAAGUACUUAUGACAUUAUAGACUAGGCC
RNAcentral lists this long non-coding RNA (264 nucleotides) under Elaeis guineensis (African oil palm). Its description in RNAcentral is "long non-coding RNA (EGUI_LNC044676)". Lineage: Eukaryota; Viridiplantae; Streptophyta; Magnoliopsida; Arecales; Arecaceae. The record is from RNAcentral.